AUGACGCUCAAUCUGAUAACCAAGAUAGCUACUAAGUGUCUAAUGGGCAGGAUAUACAGCAUGGAUACGCUGGACAAAGGGAUGAUUCAUGUCCCAGGCAGGACAGAGCAGGACAGUGUGAGAGUUCAUUACCCUACUCAGAACAGCACGCAAUUUGAAACUUAUUAAUUGUUUAUUUCUGGAAUUUUUUGUUUAACAUUUUUGGACCAGGGUUGACCACGGGUAACUGAAACUGCAGAUAAGGGGGGACUACUGUAUUUUUGACCUUGUGAAAGAAAUAGAAAAUUCCAUUUUUAUGUGCUAUAGCAUAGGAUUUAAUUCUUUAAGAUUUAUGAAGAAUUCUACCCAUGAAAAUAUUUGUUCUUGGCAGUUUUCAAAAGUGAUUAAUUUAAUUGCACAUUUUAAUUUUUAAUUGUUCUUUCCAUUUUUUUCCUGGCAUAUCUUUUUUUUUUCUUCUUUUGAAAGUACCAAUUUAAUCUAGAUUUUAAAUCUUAUUUCUGUUCCUAGAUGAUAGAGAUAUAUUGGUGGAUAAAUGAUGAUGUUUUCCAAAGAAAUAUAACCAGUUAUUGGCUUUCAAAUCCCACCCACGUGUUAGAAUUAAUCCUUUCCCAAGUUAGGUAAUUCUCUUGUGUCAAUAAUUGAUGAUUUGUUUUAUCCUACGAACAUGCUUAAAACUUUUUAAUUACUUGCAGAUAUUUUAAAAUCUUGGAGUUCUUGUAACUAACUACCUUUCUAGGUUCUCUUGCGAAUUUAGAUGACCCAGGAACCUCAGACCUACAUUUGUAACAAUCAAUGGGAGUAAUAACUUUAUAUAAGAUAUGUACAGGCAUACCUCAGAGAUAUUGUGGGUUCGGUCCAGACCUCUGCAGUAAAGUGAAUAUCACAAUAAAUUGAGUCACACAAAUUUUUCAUUUUCCAGUACAUAUAGAAGUUAUGCUUACACUAUACUGUAGUCUAUUAAGUGUACAGUAGCAUUAUGUCUAAAAAAAUGUACAUACCUUAAUUUAAAAAUACCUUAUUGCUAAAAACUGCUAACGAUCAUCUGAGUCUUCAGCGAAUUGUAAUCUUUUUGCAAUAGUAACAUCAAAGAUCACUGAUCACAGAUCACCAU
This 1111-nucleotide long non-coding RNA is filed under the name Phocoena sinus (vaquita). RNAcentral describes it as "lncRNA (ENSPSNG00000009405.1)". Lineage: Eukaryota; Metazoa; Chordata; Mammalia; Artiodactyla; Phocoenidae. The record is from RNAcentral.